RNAcentral lists this unclassified non-coding RNA (540 nucleotides) under uncultured fungus. RNAcentral describes it as "partial contains 5.8S ribosomal RNA, internal transcribed spacer 2, and large subunit ribosomal RNA". The stretch from base 1 to 52 matches the Rfam family "5.8S ribosomal RNA", at positions 103 to 154 of the family's 154-position model. The record is from RNAcentral. Lineage: Eukaryota; Fungi.
AACGCACCUUGCACCCUUUGGUAUUCCGAAGGGUAUGCCUGUUUGAGUGUCUUGAACAUCUCAAAAGGAAAAACUUUGUUUGUUUUGCCUUUUGGUCUUUGAGCGUUUUUGCCAAGAAAUCCAAAGCCUCUUCUUUUCUGUUCCCUUUUUUAUUUUUUCCUCCCUUGUGUAAAAGCAAAAGACGAAUAAAAAAAAAGGGGGGCAUUAUGCAGGAAAGAAGUGGGUCGGAUUGGAUUGGCUCGCUUUAAAUACAUUAGCUGGGCUUUUCAUAUCGUCGAAGCUUUGUCCCUCAAUAUGCGUGAUAAUUUCUCAAUUUCUCGUGUAUGUUUUCUGUCGUAAAAAAACAGAAAGAGGUUCACUCUUUCAAUGUGUAUAUGCCUGCUGCUUAAAAACCAUGAACGUCUUUCGCUCGCUUUUUGGAAUCAAAAACCGAAUGCAAAAGGGAAACGUUCAAAAGCGAUGUAAUGCACAUUAACGUGUGUGUUAUCAUCAAAUUCAAGCUUUGACCUCAAAUCAGGUAGGACUACCCGCUGAACUUAA